UCCCUGGUGGUCCAGUGGUUAAGACUCUGCACUUCUAAUGCAGGGGGCAAGGAUUCGAUUCCUGGUUAGGGAA
Bubalus bubalis (water buffalo) is the source of this 73-nucleotide non-coding RNA. The record is from the annotation of a RefSeq genome assembly. Lineage: Eukaryota; Metazoa; Chordata; Mammalia; Artiodactyla; Bovidae.